GAGGCUCAGAUCUGGGUUGCUGAUAAACUAGGCAUCUAGUCCAGGGGCUGCUGGAGGCAGGAGGAGCCAAGACCUUCUCCUUGAGCUAAGAUGAACUUAGGAGGCCAGGAACAAGGUCAGGAGGGCAGGGAGGAGCUCAGAAGGCCGAGGACAGGCUUGGGAGGCUGAGGACUCGCUCAGUGAAUGACUUCCAGGUCACAAUUAGCUCCUGGAUGUUUACAGACAGAGUUGCAGAGACGUUUUGCAUUUCUCUGAUGGCCAGUGAUGGUGAGCAUUUUUUCAUGUGUUUUUUGGCUGCAUAAAUGUCUUCUUUUGAGAAGUGUCUGUUCAUAUCCUUUGCCCACUUUUUGAUGCGGUUGUUUGUUUUUUUCUUGUAAAUUUGUUUGAGUUCAUUGUAGAUUCUGGGGCGUUCCUUCCAGAUGCUACAGAUGAUGCCCCGUGGCAGCUCUUCCCACAGAGGGUGACUUUUAUGAAGUCCUCAGGGGCUGCACCUCAGCAUUUGGCAGCCCAGCUUGAACCCGAGCCCCUUUACUUCACAGCUCUGAACCUCACUUCUUCAACUGUGAAAUGGGAACAGGAAUGGCAAAGCCUGCCUUGGAGGCUGCCUGAGUACCGAGGGACCCAAUCAACGCGUGCAGUGUGCGUGGCAGCGCGGGAAGCUGCAUACUGUUCACAUCUCCUCCUCUUCUCCAACAGUCCUGGGUGCAGUGUGUGCGGGAAGCUGCAUACUAUUCACGUUUCCUCCUCUUCUCCAAAAGUCCUUAUGUCGUCCAUGGCAUGGGCGGGAAGCUGCAUACUGUUCACAUUUCCUCCUCUUCUCCAACAGUCCUGGGUGCAGUGUGUGCGGGAAGCUGCAUACUGUUCACAUCUCCUCCUCUUCUCCAACAGUCCUGGGUGCAGUGUGUGCGGGAAGCUGCAUACUAUUCACAUUUCCUCCUCUUCUCCAACAGUCCUUGUGUUGUCCAUGGCAUGGGCGGGAAGCUGCACACUGUUCACGUCUCCUCUUCUCCAACAGUCCUUAUGUCGUCCAUGGCAUGGGCGGGCCAGCACUGGGCCUCAGUGCUUCUGAUUGUGCCAUUUCAACUUCAGUGAGACGCAUUUUUUUCCCACUGGCAGCUCAGGUAAGUCCCUUACCUCCCCAAAACAGCACCCUGUGAAAUCACCUUCUUGCAGCCGGGUCAGACAGUUCGCCUUGUAGGUUUAAUGAACGGUCUCCUGCAUUUAUCUCAGCUACUGCAGCCCAGUGUCUGGGGAAAGGCUGAGGGUGGUCUGAGGGCUGUGCUGGGCACUUUUUCAGGCUGCCAAAGCCUGUUCUUGGGAGGCAGCUGACCUCAUCAAAAGGAGUUCAAGCAAGGGGCUGAGGGGCCGCAUCUCCCGAGCACGGCAGACCUGGGGAAUCAGUUUGGCCUUCCUUGUUCAGGUUGGGGACACCUCGCCCCAUCACCCAUCCCACCACACUAGGCUCUGCAUCUCCCUGUCUGCUCCUUUACAACAGUUUACUAUGGAAUGCCCUCAGGGAUACAGGAGUGCAUCCAGGUGAAGCCUGUGGGGGAAAUCCUACCACGUCUGCCAUUUGCUGAACUUCUCAAAACUUAGCCUCAGGACCAUUAAGUCUCCCCUGGUUUUGGUGGGGAUGACCAGCUUUAUGCCCCAUUUCCUUAUGCCUGGGCAUGCGAUGGACAGGACACUGACCUCUCCAUUCCCAGUGCAGGCAUCCGGGGGCAAAUACUCCCUGGCCACCUUUGACUCUCAGCUGGCUGCUCCAUGCUGCCCGCGUCUUAAGACCAGGAAAUACUCCAUAUUUGCCCCUUUCUAUUGGCCUUUUCCUGAGCCCAGCUUAGAACAUGCAAAACCCAACUAUUACUGUAACAUAAUUAAUUACUCCUAUUCCUACGUCACUGUUAAUAAGAUCUCCUAGGCCAUUUCCACGUCUCAGGUCUAAUGAAGGCGCUAGAAACGCAGAAGAGAAGUAAGAUACACUGUGCCAGCCUUUGGAGGCUGCCGAGUAGAUGACCCUGGAAUGUUCCCUUUUCCGCACUGCGCUGGACAUGCCAGUUAAAUGACCCUCAGUAUUACCUUUUCCACAUUGCACUUGAC
RNAcentral lists this long non-coding RNA (2097 nucleotides) under Homo sapiens (human). RNAcentral describes it as "non-protein coding lnc-PDGFA-13:1". Lineage: Eukaryota; Metazoa; Chordata; Mammalia; Primates; Hominidae. The record is from RNAcentral.